CCUACGGGAGGCAGCAGUUAGGAAUCUUGCGCAAUGGACGAAAGUCUGACGCAGCGACGCCGCGUGCGGGAUGAAGGCCCUCGGGUUGUAAACCGCUUUCAGCAGGGACGGAAAUGACGGUACCUGCAGAAGAAGCCCCGGCCAACUACGUGCCAGCAGCCGCGGUAAU
This 169-nucleotide ribosomal RNA is filed under the name uncultured Actinomycetes bacterium. RNAcentral describes it as "uncultured actinobacterium partial 16S ribosomal RNA". It matches the Rfam family "Bacterial small subunit ribosomal RNA", at positions 338 to 524 of the family's 1533-position model. Lineage: Bacteria; Bacillati; Actinomycetota; Actinomycetes. The record is from RNAcentral.